ACUGACGAGUCCUAAAUAGGACGAAAUGCGCAUCCUGGAU
RNAcentral lists this non-coding RNA (40 nucleotides) under Trichobilharzia regenti. The record is from RNAcentral. Lineage: Eukaryota; Metazoa; Platyhelminthes; Trematoda; Strigeidida; Schistosomatidae.